UACGGAAGGCAGCAGUGGGGAAUAUUGCACAAUGGGCGCAAGCCUGAUGCAGCCAUGCCGCGUGUAUGAAAAAGGCCUUCGGGUUGUAAAGUACUUUCAGUCGUGAGGAAGGUGUUAAGGUUAAUAACCUUAGCAAUUGACGUUAGCGACAGAAGAAGCACCGGCUAACUCCGUGCCAGCAGCCGCGGUAAUACGGAGGGUGCGAGCGUUAAUCGGAAUUACUGGGCGUAAAGGGCACGCAGGCGGUUAAUUAAGUUGGAUGUGAAAUCCCCGGGCUUAACCUGGGAAUGGCAUUCAAGACUGGUUAGCUAGAGUCUUGUAGAGGGGGUUAGAAUUCCAUGUGUAGCGGUGAAAUGCGUAGAGAUGUGGAGGAAUACCGGUGGCGAAGGCGGCCCCUGGGACAAAGACUGACGCUCAUGUGCGAAAGCGUGGGGAGCAAACGAGGGAUUAGAUACC
This 456-nucleotide ribosomal RNA is filed under the name uncultured bacterium. Its description in RNAcentral is "bacterial SSU rRNA". It matches the Rfam family "Bacterial small subunit ribosomal RNA", at positions 340 to 786 of the family's 1533-position model. The record is from RNAcentral.